Molecule: unclassified non-coding RNA, 250 nt
Filed under: Hevea brasiliensis (rubber tree)
Lineage: Eukaryota; Viridiplantae; Streptophyta; Magnoliopsida; Malpighiales; Euphorbiaceae
Source: RNAcentral
AGCCGUUCCUGGCAAACCCUCUCGUCAGCUUUUACUAUGGAUGAUAUAGUACACACUAAAGUGAAAUCAAAAUGAAACCAGAAAUAGUAUACACCAUUAACAACUCUAGCAACAUGCACGUCUGAUUCCAUUCUUAAUUGUGGGUGUUACUGUGAGCUCUCUAAUGCCCUCAAACCCAGUUGUAUACACACAAAUUAGCAGUACUUAAAACACAUUACAUCCCUCUCUCUUUCUCAAAAAAAAAAAAAAA